Molecule: ribosomal RNA, 584 nt
Filed under: Microbacterium sp. T5-9
Lineage: Bacteria; Bacillati; Actinomycetota; Actinomycetes; Micrococcales; Microbacteriaceae
Description: bacterial SSU rRNA
Rfam family: Bacterial small subunit ribosomal RNA
Source: RNAcentral
CACGUGAGCAAUCUGCCCCUGACUCUGGGAUAAGCGCUGGAAACGGCGUCUAAUACUGGAUACGAGCUGCGAUCGCAUGGUCAGUAGCUGGAAAGAUUUUUUGGUCAGGGAUGAGCUCGCGGCCUAUCAGCUUGUUGGUGAGGUAAUGGCUCACCAAGGCGUCGACGGGUAGCCGGCCUGAGAGGGUGACCGGCCACACUGGGACUGAGACACGGCCCAGACUCCUACGGGAGGCAGCAGUGGGGAAUAUUGCACAAUGGGCGAAAGCCUGAUGCAGCAACGCCGCGUGAGGGAUGACGGCCUUCGGGUUGUAAACCUCUUUUAGCAGGGAAGAAGCGAAAGUGACGGUACCUGCAGAAAAAGCGCCGGCUAACUACGUGCCAGCAGCCGCGGUAAUACGUAGGGCGCAAGCGUUAUCCGGAAUUAUUGGGCGUAAAGAGCUCGUAGGCGGUUUGUCGCGUCUGCUGUGAAAUCCCGAGGCUCAACUUCGGGUCUGCAGUGGGUACGGGCAGACUAGAGUGCGGUAGGGGAGAUUGGAAUUCCUGGUGUAGCGGUGGAAUGCGCAGAUAUCAGGAGGACUCUUU